UGAGGAAUAUUGCACAAUGGACGCAAGUCUGAUGCAGCAACGCCGCGUGGAGGAUGACGGCCCUUGGGUUGUAAACUCCUUUUUUCAGGGAAGAGAAUGGACGGUACCUGAAGAAUAAGUCACGGCUAACUACGUGCCAGCAGCCGCGGUAAUACGUAGGUGGCGAGCGUUAUCCGGAAUUACUGGGCGUAAAGCGCACGCAGGCGGUCUUUUAAGUUUGACGUGAAAGCUCUCGGCUUAACUGGGAGAGGUCGUUGAAGACUGGAAGGCUUGAGGCAAUGAGAGGGGUGUAGAAUUCCCGGUGUAGUGGUGGAAUGCGUAGAUAUCGGGGGGAAUACCAGUGGCGAAAGCGGCACCCUAGCGUUAGCCUGACGCUCAUGUGCGAAAGCGUGGGGAGCGAACGGG
RNAcentral lists this ribosomal RNA (405 nucleotides) under Bacillota bacterium. RNAcentral's name for it is "Firmicutes bacterium partial 16S ribosomal RNA". It matches the Rfam family "Bacterial small subunit ribosomal RNA", at positions 355 to 776 of the family's 1533-position model. Lineage: Bacteria; Bacillati; Bacillota. The record is from RNAcentral.